This 556-nucleotide long non-coding RNA is filed under the name Chinchilla lanigera (long-tailed chinchilla). Its description in RNAcentral is "lncRNA (ENSCLAG00000029092.1)". Lineage: Eukaryota; Metazoa; Chordata; Mammalia; Rodentia; Chinchillidae. The record is from RNAcentral.
CAGUGCCUUCAGACACUGUCUUGCUUCCCCAGCGCAGGGAGAGCCAGCUCCGCACCCAGGUGCAGCCUCUGUGGCCAGCGAUGUGCCCUGCCCCUUGGCACAGACCACACCGGGGAGCCACGGCCCGGCUGCCAGAGGGAAGACUCCACCCUCUUCGGCGUGCAAUGGCAGAUGGGUGGUCACCCCUGGCACUCAGCUCCAGAGGAAGUCUGCAUGGAUUUCUUCAUUACUACCCCCAGCUUCCUGCCCAUUCUUCCCAAUGACACGCUCUCAGUCUUCCUUGAAAGUGAUUAUGAUUCCUAAAUGAGCACACAGAAAUAAACUUCUUCAUUAACUAGAGAAGAAAUCGCACCACCUGAGUGGAACACGCAGGCGAACACAGCAGAAGCACAGCAGCGUGUGCGGGGCUAAUUACCUGCUCACAGAUGCUCCGUGCUGCAGGCGGGGUAGCUGGGGCUGUCGUGCUUGGGGCGGCAUUGUCGAGGCUUUGUGUUUUGUGGAGCUCGAGACCCAGAUAUUAACAGGUACUGUUCAAAUACAUUUUGGAAACUCAAUG